RNAcentral lists this unclassified non-coding RNA (240 nucleotides) under Hevea brasiliensis (rubber tree). Lineage: Eukaryota; Viridiplantae; Streptophyta; Magnoliopsida; Malpighiales; Euphorbiaceae. The record is from RNAcentral.
AAGCAAGUGCCUUGAUAGCAAUUCUUGGUGAAAUUCUUGGAUUCUUUGCUAAGUCCUUGCAUGCUUCAAGGCUUAGUUUCUCAUAGUUGAGACAUCUACAUAAUCUUGAUCUUUCCUCUAAUGAAAGGACUGGAUGAGACUCAAGAUAGAUAUCAAUGGCUCUGUAGACUCCAUCAAAAGAAUCCCUUGCAUAAUCUGGUAGACUCUCAGCAACAGCAAGAAACUUUGAUAUUUUAAGAG